This 458-nucleotide ribosomal RNA is filed under the name uncultured bacterium. RNAcentral describes it as "bacterial SSU rRNA". It matches the Rfam family "Bacterial small subunit ribosomal RNA", at positions 29 to 523 of the family's 1533-position model. The record is from RNAcentral.
AACGAACGCUGGCGGCAUGCCUAACACAUGCAAGUCGAACGGGAUCCUAGCUUGCUAGGUGAGAGUGGCGGACGGGUGAGUAACACGUGGGAAUCUGCCUUUUGGUUCGGGAUAACCGCGGGAAACUGCGGCUAAUACCGAAUGCCCUCGAGAGAGGAAAGAUUUAUCGCCAGAAGAGGAGCCCGCGUCCGAUUAGGUAGUUGGUGGGGUAAAGGCCUACCAAGCCGACGAUCGGUAGCUGGUCUGAGAGGAUGAUCAGCCACACUGGGACUGAGAUACGGCCCAGACUCCUACGGGAGGCAGCAGUGGGGAAUAUUGGACAAUGGGGGCAACCCUGAUCCAGCAAUGCCGCGUGAGUGAUGAAGGCCUUAGGGUUGUAAAGCUCUUUUGCCAGGGAAGAUGAUGACUGUACCUGGAGAAUAAGCCCCGGCUAACUUCGUGCCGAGCAGCCACGGUAU